GAGUGUAUGCAGAUAUAAGAGAACAAAGAUUAAGGCCAUCUUUUAAUGGAGUGUAUGCAGGUAUAAGAGAACAAAGAUAAAGGCCAUCUUUAAAUGGAGUGUAUGCAGGUAUAAAAGAACAAAGAUUAAGGCCAUCUUUUAAUGGAGUGUAUGCAGGUAUAAGAGAACAAAGAUAAAGGCCAUCUUUAAAUGGAGUGUAUGCAGGUAUUAAAGAUCAAAGAUUAAGGCCAUCUUUUAAUGGAGUCUAUGCAGGUAUAAGAGAACAAAGAUAAAGGCCAUCUUUUAAUGGAGUGUAUGCAGGUAUAAGAGAACAAAGAUAAAGGCCAUCUUUAAAUGGAGUGUAUGCAGGUAUAAAAUAUCAAAGAUAAAGGCCAUCUUUUAAUGGAGUGUAUGCAGGUAUAAGAGAACAAAGAUAAAGGCCAUCUUUUAAUGGAGUGUAUGCAGGUAUAAAAGAUCAAAGAUAAAGGCCAUCUUUUAAUGGAGUGUAUGAAGGUAUAAGAGAACAAAGAUAAAGGCCAUCUUUUAAUGGAGUGUAUGCAGAUAUAAGAGAACAAAGAUAAAGGCCAUCUUUAAAUGGAGUGUAUGCAGGUAUAAAAGAUCAAAGAUAAAGGCCAUCUUUUAAUGGAGUGUAUGCAGGUAUAAGAGAACAAAGAUAAAGGCCAUCUUUUAAUGGAGUGUAUGCAGGUAUAAGAGAACAAAGAUAAAGGCCAUCUUUUAAUGGAGUGUAUGCAGGUAUAAAAGAUCAAAGAUAAAGGCCAUCUUUUAAUGGAGUGUAUGCAGGUAUAAGAGAACAAAGAUAAAGGCCAUCUUUUAAUGGAGUGUAUGCAGGUAUAAGAGAACAAAGAUAAAGGCCAUCUUUUAAUGGAGUGUAUGCAGGUAUAACAGAUCAAAGAUAAAGGCCAUCUUUUAAUGGAGUGUAUGCAGGUAUAAGAGAACAAAGAUAAAGGCCAUCUUUAAAUGGAGUGUAUGCAGGUAUAAGAGAACAAAGAUAAAGGCCAUCUUUUAAUGGAGUGUAUGCAGGUAUAAGAGAACAAAGAUAAAGGCCAUCUUUUAAUGGAGUGUAUGCAGGUA
Molecule: long non-coding RNA, 1071 nt
Organism: Nematostella vectensis (starlet sea anemone)
Lineage: Eukaryota; Metazoa; Cnidaria; Anthozoa; Actiniaria; Edwardsiidae
Exons: 2
Source: RefSeq, a predicted model, not a curated record